This 337-nucleotide unclassified non-coding RNA is filed under the name soil metagenome. RNAcentral's name for it is "partial contains 5.8S ribosomal RNA, internal transcribed spacer 2, and large subunit ribosomal RNA". The stretch from base 1 to 120 matches the Rfam family "5.8S ribosomal RNA", at positions 35 to 154 of the family's 154-position model. The record is from RNAcentral.
GAUGAAGAACGUAGCGAAAUGCGAUAAGUAAUGCGAAUUGCAGAAUUCAGUGAAUCAUCGAAUCUUUGAACGCACAUUGCGCCCCUUGGUAUUCCAUGGGGCAUGCCUGUUCGAGCGUCAUUUGUACCUUCAAGCCUUGCUUGGUGUUGGGUGUUUGUCUCGCCUCUGCGCGCAGACUCGCCUCAAAACAAUUGGCAGCCGGCGUAUUGAUUUCGGAGCGCAGUACAUCUCGCGCUUUGCACUCAGAACGACGACGUCCAAAAGUACAUUUUUACACUCUUGACCUCGGAUCAGGUAGGGAUACCCGCUGAACUUAAGCAUAUCAAUAAGCGGAGGA